GGUGCUCGAGUGGCGAACGGGUGAGUAACACGUGAGUAACCUGCCCUUGACUUUGGGAUAACUUCAGGAAACUGGGGCUAAUACCGGAUAGGAGCUCCUGCUGCAUGGUGGGGGUUGGAAAGUUUCGGCGGUUGGGGAUGGACUCGCGGCUUAUCAGUUUGUUGGUGGGGUAGUGGCUUACCAAGGCUUUGACGGGUAGCCGGCCUGAGAGGGUGACCGGCCACAUUGGGACUGAGAUACGGCCCAG
Molecule: ribosomal RNA, 247 nt
Filed under: uncultured Actinomycetales bacterium
Lineage: Bacteria; Bacillati; Actinomycetota; Actinomycetes; Actinomycetales
Description: partial 16S ribosomal RNA
Rfam family: Bacterial small subunit ribosomal RNA
Source: RNAcentral